GGGAGCUUGCUCCCUGAUGUUAGCGGCGGACGGGUGAGUAACACGUGGGUAACCUGCCUGUAAGACUGGGAUAACUCCGGGAAACCGGGGCUAAUACCGGAUGGUUGUUUGAACCGCAUGGUUCAAACAUAAAAGGUGGCUUCGGCUACCACUUACAGAUGGACCCGCGGCGCAUUAGCUAGUUGGUGAGGUAACGGCUCACCAAGGCAACGAUGCGUAGCCGACCUGAGAGGGUGAUCGGCCACACUGGGACUGAGACACGGCCCAGACUCCUACGGGAGGCAGCAGUAGGGAAUCUUCCGCAAUGGACGAAAGUCUGACGGAGCAACGCCGCGUGAGUGAUGAAGGUUUUCGGAUCGUAAAGCUCUGUUGUUAGGGAAGAACAAGUACCGUUCGAAUAGGGCGGUACCUUGACGGUACCUAACCAGAAAGCCACGGCUAACUACGUGCCAGCAGCCGCGGUAAUACGUAGGUGGCAAGCGUUGUCCGGAAUUAUUGGGCGUAAAGGGCUCGCAGGCGGUUUCUUAAGUCUGAUGUGAAAGCCCCCGGCUCAACCGGGGAGGGUCAUUGGAAACUGGGGAACUUGAGUGCAGAAGAGGAGAGUGGAAUUCCACGUGUAGCGGUGAAAUGCGUAGAGAUGUGGAGGAACACCAGUGGCGAAGGCGACUCUCUGGUCUGUAACUGACGCUGAGGAGCGAAAGCGUGGGGAGCGAACAGGAUUAGAUACCCUGGUAGUCCACGCCGUAAACGAUGAGUGCUAAGUGUU
Molecule: ribosomal RNA, 766 nt
Filed under: Bacillus subtilis
Lineage: Bacteria; Bacillati; Bacillota; Bacilli; Caryophanales; Bacillaceae
Description: bacterial SSU rRNA
Rfam family: Bacterial small subunit ribosomal RNA
Source: RNAcentral